This 119-nucleotide ribosomal RNA is filed under the name Pteropus vampyrus (large flying fox). The record is from RNAcentral. Lineage: Eukaryota; Metazoa; Chordata; Mammalia; Chiroptera; Pteropodidae.
UCUUUAAGCCAUGCCACCCUGAAUGUGCUUGAUCUCGUCUGAUCUUGGAAACUAAGAAGGGUCGGGCCUGGUUAGUACUUGGAUGGGAGACCAGCUAGGAAGACCAGGCGCUGUAGGUG